Molecule: ribosomal RNA, 429 nt
Filed under: Bacteroidota bacterium
Lineage: Bacteria; Pseudomonadati; Bacteroidota
Description: Bacteroidetes bacterium partial 16S ribosomal RNA
Rfam family: Bacterial small subunit ribosomal RNA
Source: RNAcentral
UAGGGAAUCUUCGGCAAUGGGGGGAACCCUGACCGAGCAACGCCGCGGGAGUGAAGAAGGUUUUCGGAUCGUAAAGCUCUGUUGUUAAGGAAGAACGAGUGUGAGAAUGGAAAGUUCAUACUGUGACGGUACUUAACCAGAAAGGGACGGCUAACUACGUGCCAGCAGCCGGGGUAAUACGUAGGUCCCGAGCGUUGUCCGGAUUUAUUGGGCGUAAAGCGAGCGCAGGCGGUUAGAUAAGUCUGAAGUUAAAGGCAGUGGCUCAACCAUUGUAGGCUUUGGAAACUGUUUAACUUGAGUGCAGAAGGGGAGGGUGGAAUUCCAUGUGUAGCGGUGAAAUGCGUAGAUAUAUGGAGGAACACCGGUGGCGAAAGCGGCUCUCUGGUCUGUAACUGACGCUGGGGCUCGAAAGCGUGGGGAGCGAACAGG